Oenanthe melanoleuca is the source of this 2238-nucleotide long non-coding RNA. RefSeq lists it as uncharacterized. The record is from RefSeq and is a predicted model, not a curated record. NCBI's taxonomy places the organism in Eukaryota, Metazoa, Chordata, Aves, Passeriformes, Muscicapidae. The transcript is spliced from 2 exons.
CGGGGCCGCUGCUCUCCUGCCGUCUCGGGAAUUAUUCACUCCCGGGGAGGGCAGCGGGAGGGGGCACCGCCAGCCCUGUCCGUGCAGCCCGCUGCUGGGAAAUGAAAUUGUCGCUGCCCAGAGCGACCGCGGAGAGAGUGAGCGCCGGGAGCAGCGGAGGGAAGCGAGGAAAUAACUGCCCGGCUUGCCCCACCGAAAAAUACGGAAGCAAAAAGAAAAGGAAAAAAACCCGAAGAGUUUUAAAAAUGGUAUCUAUUUGGGAGCGAGGGAUCUGUGCCGGUCUCCGGGUCCGGCCGGGCUCCCCCUCGCCGUGCGCGGUCCCCAGCCGGGCUGCCGCGGCGGUCCCCGGCACCUGAUCCCCCUGGUGGCUACCGGUCCCCCUCGGGAAGCCACCGGGGGGGGAGGAUCCGGGCAGCUCGGGGCUCGCCGAGGGUGCGGGGGGGGCCCCCCUUUUAUCUGCCUUUCCCCUCGGCAUUACCAUGCCGAUCCCCACCCACCCGGCCCUCCCCGCGGCCGGCGCGGCUCCCUGCGGCCGCUGAGCCGCCCGGCUUCCCCGGCGCUGGGGAGCGAGAAGGAGGAAGAGGGAAAGGGCGCGGGGGCUGGGAUGGAGGUAGGAGGGGGGGUUGAAACUUGCCCUGCAAAGUUUGCGUGUGGCCGGGCGGGCGCGGUGGCCGGUACUCACGGUGCGGCUGGCGGCGGGCGCUGCGCGGAGCUGGCGGCGUGCGGGGAGCGGGGCAGUCCCGGGCGAGCUGGCCCCGCUGCCCGCCCGCCGCUCGCAUGUAGCAGCGCGGGAGGCGGCGGGGGUGCGAGGGAAGGAGCAGUGCUGCCUCUCAGUGCCGGCUCUCAUCAGUGAAUGAGCCUCCACUCUCCGAGGGGCUCCCGCCGCACACACACACGCACACACGCGCGCACACACACACGCACACACACUCUCACACACACGGAGCCGGGCUGAGCACUGCAUACAUUAGGGCACUCGGGCAGUAUGGGAAAUGCAGUCCAGGACCGGCGCCCACCCGCCGGCUGCCCGCCAGCCGUGGCCCCCGGAGUUGCCAAAACGGGGCGUCGGGGGCUGCUCCUCUCCCGGCAGCGCCGCUUCUCCUCCCAGCCCCGCCGUGCCGACCUCACCCACCCGCCUGGCACUGGUCAUAUUUUCCACCGUGCAGCUCCCUCCCAAAUUGCUGCGGGACGCUGCUGGGCCCCCUGGGCGGCAGCUUCCCCGCUUCGGGGCAGCCCCGUACCCUUCCGGCCCCGAGGCAGCCCACUCCCCUCGGGAUGCCCAUGGGACACAGCCUUCCCUCACGAACCCUGCGGCAUGUUCUGGCAUGGGAUGGGCAUGAUAGCCAGGGGUGGGCAUCGUCCCCAAACUUGCCUUGGACAGCCACAGCCGAGCCAGAGAGCGAAUUAGGGACUUCACACUCCCAGUGUUUCCCAACAGCGGCACGCACGCACGGCACUCACACUGCUGUUUUAAUGUUUCCUGGAUGCACGUCGCAGCUCUGCACAAAUCCUUCUGCACACACGCUCCACCUCGGCCACAGGCAACUUCCCUGCCAGCCCUAGGAUUGUCCCGAGCAAAAACUGCCCGUCAUAGGAAAUGGAAGAGCUAGUUUUAGAUGGGGACUCAAAAGAAACACUUGUCUCAUUGUUUCUUGUGAAGUACACCAAACAUUGAUCCAAGAGACUUACUUUGCUCAAGAGCAAAGUGUUUUGUGUUUUUUUUUCUUCAACUGCUAAAUAAUUUCAAGUUAUUCUCAAAAAUAGCAUGGGUAGCAUUUUAUGGCUCUUCUCUAACUCUGCACUGGCAUUCUCAAAAUAUGACUCUGCUGUGUGACAUACGCUGAAAGAAGUCCUCUCAACAUAAUCAAGGACUUGGGCAAUAUUCUGUGUAUGACAGCAAGAGGGAUCAUAUGCUUAUGUCAUCCAACAACUUUUGUGUAAGCAGUGACUCAUCACUGAAGUGUAUGGGCUGGCUUUACCUGUUACUCCAGGAUCACUGAAGGUACCAGUCCCUAUAAAACUGUCCACAGGCACAGCAUGAAGUGUGUCCUCAGGCCUUAACUGGGUGCAGAAUGUGAUAGUUUGCUUUUUACUGGACUGAAACCCACCCAUCUUUCCUGCAGCAUUUCAGAGUUAGGUCUUAUGCAGAUAGGUCUUUAUGCUUGCAUGACUUUUGAAUGACAAAAUCUUUUGAAAUGUUAAUAAUAAUAAUGACAAUAAACACCUUCCUAAUUUUCA